Molecule: RNA transcript, 2004 nt
Organism: Cavia porcellus (domestic guinea pig)
Lineage: Eukaryota; Metazoa; Chordata; Mammalia; Rodentia; Caviidae
Gene: Rsrp1
Gene name: arginine and serine rich protein 1
Exons: 5
Source: RefSeq, a predicted model, not a curated record
CUCAUUUCUGCGCAUGCCCCAGGCCUCAAUUUCUAGUGUUUUCUUGUAGUGUUUGAGAACUUCCUUUUCAGUUCGCGCCCGGACGUCGGGAGUGGACGGUGUCCUGGUUUUGUUAGGGAACGCUUAUACGAAGCUCCUGUCAGUACGCUUCGAGUUAGGCGACUGUUAGGCCUCUCUCUUCAUUCUGAGGGGCGUCGAAAUCCUGCGGUGCCGCUGGGUUUGCGAGAACAGUUUUUCUAAAGAAAAAGAGGCGUAGGUCGUGGGCGAAGAUGUCCAACUACAUGAACGACCUGUGGCCCGGCUCUCUGCAGGACUCCCCUUCCGUCCCCGGGUCGGAUGGGUCCAGCCGGCUGUCCUCGCGAUCUGGGAGCCGCUCCUCUUCCCGAAGCUCCCGCUCCGAGCCCCGCGGCUCCAGCCGCUCGCCCUUCGGGAGUCGCAGCCGACCCCGGAGAAGGAGCCGAUCGAGGUCGCGUUCGAGGAGGCGCCACCAGCGGAAGUACAGGCGCUACUCGCGCUCUUAUUCGCGCAGUCGGUCCCGAUCCCGCGGCCGCCGCUACCGGGAGAGGCGUUACGCGCCGCCCCGCAGGUAUUUCCGGUCUCCCUCGCCGCGCCGCUCACGCAGUCGUUCGCGCAGCCGCUCGCGCUCCCGGGGGAGGUCGUACUUCAGAAGGUCGCACUACGCCCUCGCUCGGGGCCGUCGGUUCUACGGUUUCGGUCGCACUGGGUACCUAGAGGAGCGCGCCAGGUGGAGAGAGAGAUCGAGAUCUAGGACGAGGUCACGGAGCAGAACCCCCUUUCGUUUGAGUGAAAAAGAUCGAAUGGAGCUGUUAGAAAUUGCAAAAGCCAAUGCAGCAAAAGCAUUAGGAACAACUAACUUUGAGUUGCCUGCUAGUCUCAGAACUGUUUCUGUAGUCAAAGAAAUAAGCCAUGGAGCAGCUGUAGCAGGUGUUGGUGCAAAAUCUGAGAAAUCAUGAAUGUGGUCUCCAGACUGAUGAAGAAAAUCUGUUGGUAAUUGGUACAUGGGCCAAAGCAUCAGAGGUUUAACUAAGUUUAUAUUCACACACUAAAAACUUAGGGUUUUUUUCUAUUGUUGUUGUUCCAUGUGCAUGCUAGACUAUGGGACAGGUACUAUUCACGUAUGGUUACCAAAGAAAAUUUUUAAAUUAACUGAAGGUACAUUCUGUAAUGGUAGAUAUCCCUUUUAUAAUACAUGCAAUAUAUUCCAGAUAUUUUGAGAGAUUACAGAAGAAGAGCCUGCUUCACAUGCAGAUAAGUUUAUCACAAUUCUCAAGAAAUCUGCAGGGUGUGCAUUGGCAAAUUGCCCUGUAUACACUUUUGUUAUGUGAAAUUUAAAUUUAGGAUUGAUAGCUUUAAAGGUUUAAAGUAGAGAUUGAUUAAAAACCCAGUGAAGAUACCCUUUCUAAAUGAACUUUUAUCUUGAACCCCCAAAUGUGGGUCUACUGACUCCUAAUAGAAAAGUAGUAUAAGGUCUUACUCAGAUCAUUAGGUAUCCUACUGGUAGAUGCCUUAGUUUCUUGAAACCAGGCAAUUUUUGGUAUGACUUUAUUUUCGAGAGUUACUUGAAUUUGCAGCAGGAGAAUAAAGUACAAGGAAGUGUGCCUUGUUCCUACUAUGACAAUAGGUUAGGGUGUUAACCCUGUGACGUUAGUUACAAUUUGAUUGGUGCAUCUGUGACUAAAUUUAUACAAAAUGAGCCCAUUCUGUUUAUAUAGAACUUAAAAACCAAGUUUUUUUUUUUUUUUUUUUUAAAUUUCUCUCUUUUGCUUGUCUAGCUGUCAGAAAAGGUAACAGAAGGUGGAGCUAAGAAUUCCAAUGAAAAACCUUCCCAGCAAAAAAACAUAGUUUUUAGUGCUAAUAAUUCUGUAGCAAAACCAAUGCAGAAAACAGCUAACACAGCUGCUGAAGAGAAAUCUUCAGGAUCACCAAAAAUAGAUAAGAAAAAAAGCCCAUAUGGGCUGUGGAUACCUGUGUAAAAGAAGAAAA